AACGAACGCUGGCGGCGUGCCUAACACAUGCAAGUCGAGCGAGAAAGGGACUUCGGUCCCGAGUAAAGCGGCGCACGGGUGCGUAACACGUGGGUAAUCUUCCUUCAGGUCCGGAAUAACUCUUCGAAAGGAGAGCUAAUGCUGGAUAAGCCCACGGCCCCUUAGGGGCUGUGGGAAAAGAUGGCCUCUGCAUGCAAGCUAUCUCCUGUAGAUGAGCCCGCGGCCCAUCANGCUAGUUGGCGGGGUAACGGCCCACCAAGGCGACGACGGGUAGCUGGUCUGAGAGGACGAUCAGCCACACUGGAACUGAGACACGGUCCAGACUCCUACGGGAGGCAGCAGUGGGGAAUCUUGCGCAAAUGGUCUAAACGACUGACGCAGCGACGCCGCGUGAGGGA
This 398-nucleotide ribosomal RNA is filed under the name uncultured bacterium. RNAcentral describes it as "bacterial SSU rRNA". It matches the Rfam family "Bacterial small subunit ribosomal RNA", at positions 29 to 408 of the family's 1533-position model. The record is from RNAcentral.